Potamilus streckersoni is the source of this 71-nucleotide non-coding RNA. The record is from the annotation of a GenBank genome assembly. NCBI's taxonomy places the organism in Eukaryota, Metazoa, Mollusca, Bivalvia, Unionida, Unionidae.
UAAGUGGCCUAAAUGGUUAGAGUGUCUGCCUUGGAUGCAGGAGGUUGCAGGUUCAAACCCCAUCUGUUCAU